This 77-nucleotide transfer RNA is filed under the name Winogradskya humida. Its description in RNAcentral is "Actinoplanes humidus tRNA-Arg". Lineage: Bacteria; Bacillati; Actinomycetota; Actinomycetes; Micromonosporales; Micromonosporaceae. The record is from RNAcentral.
CGCGGUUGGUGUGCGGGCGCCCGCCGGUCUUCGGCGUCGGCGAGUCGAUCGCCGGGUUCUCGCUCUCGCUGCCGUGC